This 295-nucleotide long non-coding RNA is filed under the name Gossypium barbadense (sea-island cotton). RNAcentral describes it as "long non-coding RNA (GBAR_LNC022653)". Lineage: Eukaryota; Viridiplantae; Streptophyta; Magnoliopsida; Malvales; Malvaceae. The record is from RNAcentral.
CCUUCACAUUUUGGUCUUUUCAUUUACUUCUUGGCAAGCAUACUCAACUAUUACCUAUAACCAUGCAGAGAAACGAUAUGGUUGAGUACUUUGGUGAGCAGUUGUCUGGUUUUGCAUUCACUGUUAAUGGAUGGGUGCAAUCUUACGGAUCUCGAUGUGUCAAGCCACCAAUCAUCUACGGUGAUGUUAGCCGCCCCAAGCCAAUGACUGUUUUCUGGUCAUCUACUGCACAAAGCAUGACUGCACGCCCAAUGAAGGGAAUGCUUACUGGGCCCGUUACCAUCCUCAACUGGUC